GCUCCCAUAGCUUAACCCAAAGCAUAGCACUGAAGAUGCUAAGAUGGUACCUAUCUACCUGGGGAC
Molecule: transfer RNA, 66 nt
Filed under: Caloperdix oculeus
Lineage: Eukaryota; Metazoa; Chordata; Aves; Galliformes; Phasianidae
Description: tRNA-Phe
Source: RNAcentral